This 96-nucleotide signal recognition particle RNA is filed under the name Actinomycetes bacterium. Its description in RNAcentral is "signal recognition particle sRNA small type". It matches the Rfam family "Bacterial small signal recognition particle RNA". From Rfam's summary of the family: The signal recognition particle (SRP) is a universally conserved ribonucleoprotein involved in the co-translational targeting of proteins to membranes. Archaeal SRP consists of a 7S RNA and homologues of the eukaryotic SRP19 and SRP54 proteins. RNAcentral also lists the same sequence under 1 other name. The record is from RNAcentral. Lineage: Bacteria; Bacillati; Actinomycetota; Actinomycetes.
AGCGACCCCUCGUACGGCGGUAUCUCGCUGAACCCCCCAGGGCCGGAAGGCAGCAAGGGCAGGUGAGCUCUAUCGGGUGUGCGGGGGGUCACUUCA